Vespa mandarinia (Asian giant hornet) is the source of this 165-nucleotide long non-coding RNA. Lineage: Eukaryota; Metazoa; Arthropoda; Insecta; Hymenoptera; Vespidae. The record is from RefSeq and is a predicted model, not a curated record.
GUACUCGGGGACGCUGAAAUUACGUUCGAGCGCUUCCAUUGUCAAGUCCCACCUGACGGAGUUGAAGGCAUUUCUCACGUCUAAGGUGGCCAGCAGACACAAAGGGCGAGUUAGAUGGUUCCCACGCUCCGUCAUUUUAGCGGCCAUUCUAUUGUGAAUGGUAAA